CUCAAUUUGUUUGCGCGACACAAUUUUUCAAAACCCCGAAGGGACUUUGUGUGGACACGUGUUACGACAAAUUUAGAAGCUACCUCAUUGAGAUGGAAAAUAAUUUCCUUUACUAAUUCACCAGUCUGGUAUAUAGUAUUUGCUCAAAUAUAAGACUAGGUCUUUAGGCACACAAAAUGAAGUUAUUUAAUUUUCAUUACCAUUUUAUUGAAAUUAGUGUUACAGUCUUAAAUUUGAACUGGUGCAGCUAUAAUUUAGGUCUGCCUAAGAGCAUAUCUUGUUCUCUUCAUUUUAAAGAAGCUUGUGAUGGAAUUUUUGCUGUUAUUUGUUGCAGUCCAAAAUUUAAUAUGUUCUGACACUGAGUUUGGCCUGUAUUCUCACAUUCUCAUACUGCAGAAGGUUGAACAAGUAAAGUAUAUAUUUUCCAGGUAAAUUAUGUUAUGAUUUUGUUCUUAUAAUGUAAUAUAAUAUUCUGUAACUGAUUUUUCAUUCAAGGAAUGAUGACAUAAUCCGUUUGAGUCAUAAUCUUCGGCGACUAGCAGACGAGUUUGCUCAGUCAGAGCUUCGUGAGCAUAUUCGACAAACAGCUGAUGGAGUUAAUUUAGAUAGUCUAGACUUCACAGCCUUUUCUGAUCUUGUGGCUGGAUUGUUUCAGGAAGGUGGGGUCACAACACCACGAGUGGUUGUGUUCUUUUUGUUUUGCUAUGACCUGCUAAUGAGAGUUAUAAACAACAAUACCCUGAUACGUUUAGUAAUGUUGGUUCGAAGAUACAUUGUUGGGAGAGUAACUAUAUGGGUGCAGCGUCAAGGAGGAUGGGCUGUAGUUCUUCAACAGUCCGUGAUAAAUGCAUAUAGGAUUGCAGUGACACUAUUUUGCUGCUUUGGAAUAGUGGCUAUAUGUGCGUACAUACGCAAUAACAGGCGAUAGCUGCAUAUUGCUUAGUUCUGGCGUGCAGUUGUUAUCAGUUAUUUUUGUGUUUAUAUUUUUGAAGUCUAUUAUUAUUAUUAUUGACUAGAUUGACUAUAUUAGAAAUUUGGAACAGGUUUUCAGAACUCCCAUGAUUAAGACUGAAGUAGAACAAAAAGUGGAGUAAAAAUGUUUGUUACAUUUUAGGCGUUGUAAAAUAAAUAAAAUAUUCUGUAGAAGGUUUGGCCCUUCUCGAAGGUAUCACCACCUUGUCGAAGGCAAUCUGCCGGGUGAGGAGGCUUGCG
Zootermopsis nevadensis is the source of this 1212-nucleotide non-coding RNA. Lineage: Eukaryota; Metazoa; Arthropoda; Insecta; Blattodea; Termopsidae. The record is from RefSeq and is a predicted model, not a curated record.